Molecule: ribosomal RNA, 859 nt
Filed under: uncultured Sulfurovum sp.
Lineage: Bacteria; Pseudomonadati; Campylobacterota; Epsilonproteobacteria; Campylobacterales; Sulfurovaceae
Description: bacterial SSU rRNA
Rfam family: Bacterial small subunit ribosomal RNA
Source: RNAcentral
GUGUCAGCAGCCGCGCGGUAAUACGGAGGGUGCAAGCGUUACUCGGAAUCACUGGGCGUAAAGCGCGCGCAGGCGGCUAGAUAAGUUGGAAGUGAAAUCCUAUGGCUCAACCAUAGAACUGCUUCCAAAACUGUUUAGCUAGAGUCUGGGAGGGGAAGAUGGAAUUGGUAGUGUAGGGGUAAAAUCCGUAGAGAUUACUAGGAAUACCAAAAGCGAAGGCGAUCUUCUGGAACAGUACUGACGCUGAGGCGCGAAAGCGUGGGGAGCAAACAGGAUUAGAUACCCUGGUAGUCCACGCCCUAAACGAUGAAUGUUAGUCGUCGGGACUCUAGUAGUUUCGGUGAUGCAGUUAACACAUUAAACAUUCCGCCUGGGGAGUACGGUCGCAAGAUUAAAACUCAAAGGAAUAGACGGGGACCCGCACAAGUGGUGGAGCAUGUGGUUUAAUUCGAAGAUACGCGAAGAACCUUACCUAGCCUUGACAUAUUUUAGAACUCCGCAGAGAUGUAGAGGUGCCUUCGGGAGCUAAUAUACAGGUGCUGCACGGCUGUCGUCAGCUCGUGUCGUGAGAUGUUGGGUUAAGUCCCGCAACGAGCGCAACCCUCGUUCUUAGUUACUAACGGUUCGGCCGAGGACUCUAAGAAGACUGCCUUCGUAAGGAGGAGGAAGGUGAGGACGACGUCAAGUCAUCAUGGCCCUUACGGCUAGGGCAACACACGUGCUACAAUGGUUAGGACAAUGAGACGCAAUACCGCGAGGUGGAGCAAAUCUAUAAACCUAAUCUCAGUUCGGAUUGUAGUCUGCAACUCGACUACAUGAAGCUGGAAUCACUAGUAAUCGUAGAUCAGCUAUGCUACGG